Molecule: ribosomal RNA, 233 nt
Filed under: uncultured bacterium
Lineage: Bacteria
Description: partial 16S ribosomal RNA
Rfam family: Bacterial small subunit ribosomal RNA
Source: RNAcentral
AAUGAACGCUGGCGGCGCGCCUAAUACAUGCAAGUCGAGCGAGAAGACGUAGCAAUACGUUUGUAAAGCGGCGAACGGGUGAGGAAUACAUGGGUAACCUACCCUCGAGUGGGGAAUAACUAGCCGAAAGGUUAGCUAAUACCGCGUACGCUCCUUGGACUUCGGUUCAGGGAGGAAAGCGAUACCGUGGGUAUCGCGCUCUUGGAUGGGCUCAUGUCCUAUCAGCUUGUUGG